Molecule: ribosomal RNA, 813 nt
Filed under: Triticum aestivum (bread wheat)
Lineage: Eukaryota; Viridiplantae; Streptophyta; Magnoliopsida; Poales; Poaceae
Description: partial small subunit ribosomal RNA
Source: RNAcentral
AUGGCCCCACUGAGCAACAACUCCCGCCAGACCGACAUCAUCGCCAUGAUGCCGGACUGUAAUGCGCAUGGCCUUGACCCGAAUUGGGUCGAGCCGGAGGUGGAUCGGGUGCAGGAGUUCUUCAAUGCCCUGUUAGAGAAGUACGCCCGCGAAGAGCCGCUGCUCAUCCAGGACACCACCCAAGCGGAGCUGGACUAUAUCACCGUCAGAGCGGCGGAGGCGGCGCUCGCCAAGGAGGCCGACAGCGCUGGCAGCGUAGAGGACGAGGCCAUAGCGGCCGCAGAGGAGAAGGAGCUCGCCCAGUGGGCGGAAUCCGCUGGGGAGGCCAGCAGCGCCGGCACCGGGGCCCCUCUCAUUGAAGAUGAGGCCGAUGAGUCGUCCAGGGAGGAGGUCGAGGCUGUCGACCCCCCAACCACAGGGAGAGGGCGUGUUCUGCGGCGGGCCAUCUCUGGUGAGCCAGUCCGGCCCUACAGGGCUGCACAGCCGCAACAACCUCAGGAGGCGUCCAUGCAUCAGACAAGGGCCGCGGUGGCGGGGAAAGCGGUGAAGGCUGCGGUGGCGAAGAAGAAAGCGACUGCCCCUUCUCCGUCCAAGAGUCCUCAGACUCCACCCGCUUCCCCUCCUCCCGCAGAUGACGACACGGAGGUCUUCUUCGACCUCGGGUCUCUUAGCCCGAGGAGGAAGAGGAAGGCAACGGAAGAAGAGGCGGAGGAUGAGUACGUAUCUCAUCUUUUGUCAUCUCCGUCCCCUUGGACCGUGCCGCUUUUCUUGACUUGUCUUCAUCUUCGCAGGGAUAGGGAGACGCUGUCCUAG